UAAGGAAUAUUGGUCAAUGGACGCAAGUCUGAACCAGCCAUGCCGCGUGGAGGAUGAAGGUCCUCUGGAUUGUAAACUUCUUUUAUCUGGGAAGAAACCCAUGGUUUCUACUGUGGUUGACGGUACCAGAUGAAUAAGCACCGGCUAACUCCGUGCCAGCAGCCGCGGUAAUACGGAGGGUGCAAGCGUUAUCCGGAUUCACUGGGUUUAAAGGGUGCGUAGGUGGGUCUGUAAGUCCGUGGUGAAAUCUCCGAGCUUAACUUGGAAACUGCCAUGGAUACUAUAGGUCUUGAAUACUGUGGAGGUCAGCGGAAUAUGUCAUGUAGCGGUGAAAUGCUUAGAUAUGACAUAGAACACCAAUUGCGAAGGCAGCUGGCUACACAAAUAUUGACACUGAGGCACGAAAGCGUGGGGAUCAAACAGGAUUAGAUACCCCUGUAGUCC
RNAcentral lists this ribosomal RNA (444 nucleotides) under uncultured bacterium. RNAcentral's name for it is "bacterial SSU rRNA". It matches the Rfam family "Bacterial small subunit ribosomal RNA", at positions 355 to 796 of the family's 1533-position model. The record is from RNAcentral.